Molecule: small RNA, 1345 nt
Filed under: Cryptococcus neoformans H99
Lineage: Eukaryota; Fungi; Basidiomycota; Tremellomycetes; Tremellales; Cryptococcaceae
Description: Cryptococcus neoformans var. grubii H99 hypothetical RNA
Source: RNAcentral
AAACACUUCUCUUCCCUCAUUUUCAUCCUCCUCAAUUUGCUGUAAAAUAUCUAUUCUGAAAGUCCCGUCGACUCGGUCUGCCAUGCCCUCAAAACUUUGGCUAGGAGUGACGACUUCCUCGCUCUCCGGGCCGCUAGUGCCUCCAUAUCUCCCGGAUUUUGAAGACGUGGAGGAGUUGGUCGAGACUUCGCUGCUAGCGGUAGGGUUUCGCUGAUGCACCCGCGAGACAGCAGGAGAGAUUUUGGUAUCGAUGUACACCACUUUUCUGUCACCUGAGUUGGUCGUGCUGUUUGUACUACGAUUCAUCAGACUGUUGCUUCGGUCUAGCUCCUUGACCUUUUCGAAGAAAUCCCGCUUGGUACUGGGCUUAACGGAGCCGGUCAACAUUUCUGAGAGACUAUCUCCCACCCUGCUACUGGAUGUAGAAGACGUAGAUUGUUUACGAAUAGGCUGGGUGUCAGAGGCGGAACGCUGACUCAUCGCAGACUGUGAUCUUUGAGGAGGCGAACUUGGGAUGAGAGAACGAGUUGGAGGAGAGGGCUGAAGAGGAGCGGUGUGUGAGUGGUGUAACUCUGGCCGAAUCUGUGGUGGAUUCUGCCAGGAGGUAGGCUGAAAAGACGGUUGAGAAGAGGCGGCAGUUUGCUGAAGUGCUGCUUGCUGCCUAGCAGAAGCAGCUAAUGCAACGCCUGCACGUACACCCCAAGCAGCUGCAGCAAAAGCUCUUCUUCCUACACCUGCCAUCCCAGACUCUCCUCCACUAGUAGUAUCCGGCAUUUGCAUGCUUUCCAUCGACGCACUCGAACUGUAGGAUCCCGCAGAGUUAGGAAAGAAGGGGUUGGUAGGAGAAUUUGUUUUCAACUGUGGAGAAAAGCCCGUUGGGUAAUUACUGGGAGAGCGGCUUGAUGGAGUAAGACUGUGGGGUGACGGUCGACGGGGAGGCCCAAAGUCUGUAGGCGAAGGAUGUGCGCUAGAAGGGCCAGCGAAUGGAGGUCGUAUAGAAACUGGUGAUGGUCCCUGUCUAGACGGUCUAUAUCGCGAUUGCGGCGAAGAUGAUUGAGGGAUGGGCAAUUGGGAAGGAUGAGAAGGAGUCCGUGGAACUGGAAGGCUCUCACAAACAUGGUCGCCAAGAGACGAAAGAGCAAUGUGUGCUGCACAUGUUGAGCAUGUAACAGUGGGAAGAACGACUGAGGUACGCUCAGAGUCUUGAGGCCUGCUAGGGGCAAGCAGAGACAUGAGUAUGUAGUAGUUUGAUGAGUUGAGUCGGAAGGUGUGGAUGGACAGACAGUAGACGAACUACUUGAAGGAUAGUAGAUGGUAGACAGGAGUAUGGCGGAUGAAAGGAGGG